AUACUCAGUUCUAAACUGUGCUAAAUUGCAUCUUUUCCAAUAUGUCUACUGUGGCCAGGCCUUGUACUAACAGUUUUCUGCAUUAUUAAUUCCAGUGUGGAAGUUUAUAGCUGGGAGCCAAAGAAACCUGCUCUAAGGAAGAGCGUGCCAGAGCCACCUCUAGCUGUUUCAAGCGUGCAACACAGGUGAAUCGCCUGCACAAGCUGGGGCAAGUUCCCCAGACACCAAGUGAACUAGCAUGAGAGGAAUAACACAAUUGCUCGUGAAAACUAGAAAAUCGUCACCAAGCAAUUAAUCCAGAUUAGGAACCCUCUGAAAAUAGAAUGAAACCCAUUGUCUCUUUAAACAAGGCACAUUGCACUCCAUUACAGAAGCUGCCUUAUCUGCCACAGGAAUUCUGUUUGACAGUUCGCUUCAAAAUGAGCCUUCAUUUUGGGACAGGAUUUGGCCAGCUGGAGUCAGCUUCUCCUCAAGCUCUGACACAGGCCUGGCAAAUCUACCUACCCUGAGAGAGCAUAGAACCUCCAGCAGCCUAUGGGACCUCUCUGAUACUACUUCCAGGGGGGAGGUCAGGGAUCUCAGCUAUGCACCUCACCAAAGCGUGGCAUUGCCCCACAGCCAGUCAUCAGGUAACGCACCCAGAGGUUCAUUGCUGCAUCUGAGCAGGAGGAUGAGAGGGGCCACAGUACUUGUUCCUCUGCAUGUUACUGUGGCAUCUGCACCCCAGCUGCCUGGAAAAGCUUGUACUGCCACUUGAAGAAAUGCCAGGCAGUGAACAUCAACUUGGGGAAGUAGAGCUGUGUGGUACCCAGCAGAACGACAACUACGUCAGACAUAGGCUGAAACAACUAAUGUAGGAACUACAAGAAGUGCUGCUCUGGACCCGAUGCACACCUCUCCUGCUUGGAAAAAAGAUCUCCUCAGCCACUUUGCAGUUCUCAGUGCAACACUGGAGCAGAGAAAGUACUAUAAUCAAGGUGUGGUCAAUUAUUGUGUAAUUCCCUCUCAGCCCUUCUCUCAUGCUGGGUUCAGGGAAAGGGGGCAAUUUUGUACUAGUGUCACAGCCAUUACUAUUUUUAGAGGAUUUUCUCCCAGCUUCUAAACAAUAACAUGUAAGAGUUAAGACGCAU
This 1130-nucleotide long non-coding RNA is filed under the name Calidris pygmaea (Spoon-billed sandpiper). RNAcentral's name for it is "lncRNA (ENSCPGG00000006999.1)". The record is from RNAcentral. Lineage: Eukaryota; Metazoa; Chordata; Aves; Charadriiformes; Scolopacidae.